This 725-nucleotide long non-coding RNA is filed under the name Nicotiana benthamiana. Its description in RNAcentral is "long non-coding RNA (NBEN_LNC029030)". Lineage: Eukaryota; Viridiplantae; Streptophyta; Magnoliopsida; Solanales; Solanaceae. The record is from RNAcentral.
CAUCCGCUGUUUUUCGUCAAAUAAAGACCCCCCUCCUAACUUCGUCUUCUUCAUCUCACCAUCCUAGAGAACCAAUAACCCCCUACUUUAAAAUACAUAGUAGUAGCAGCCAAUCUCGAUUGAAUAAGAAGACACCUAUAGCAACGAAUCCAUCUUCUUCGUCUCAUCUCCAUCUCCUUCAAACCCAUAAUAGCUACAGACCCAUCUCCAGCUACUUCCAACAACAUUCAGCAUCUGCUUCUUCCCAUUCACAGGAGCUCGCCGGAGCAUGCACACACGCGGUCACGUACAUAAACAAAAACAGGACAGAAAUUAAAAAGAGGUCCGUGGUUCUUAGAAUCUUUGAAAAAUCAGAAAACUAAAAGAAAACAAAAAAAUAGAUAUUUACUCUUCAUUUUAUAUCUCGAUUUUGAUUUUAAGAAAACCAUGGAUUAUGGUUGAUGUCGUUUGAGGUCGUGGUUCGAGGUUCGUCAUGGUCUAAUUUGAGUGAGUCGAUUUCAGUCAAAGUUCCGUUCGUUGCUGAGUAUUACACACAGUUAGUCCGAGCAUAUCUCUGUAAUUUUUCAUUUUACUCAUUUAAAAGAAGCAAUCCCAGGUUUAGUUUUUAUCACUCUUGCUUUAUUUUUGCGUCAGCUUCCACUGUGAUAUGAACAACAUGAUACUUAUCUAUUAUCUCCCAAUCUUCUUUGUUUAAAUUAUGUUGGAAUUACUGUUCGGUAGAGUUG